AUACAAUAGGCUUUCCACAGAAAAGUGGAAAGACCUAAUAAUAAAUAUAAAGCAAUUGUUUUGAAAACAAUUGUUAGGCAGUCUUUCCCCUCUGAUGAAUGGAUAAUUGAUUUUUUUUUAUUGAUUGAUUUGGAAAAGGGGGGGGGGUAUUUGUUUAUUUGUUUGUUUGUUUGCUUUGGUAUGGGGUCUAUAUUAUUAUGUUACCGGAGAAGUUUCAUGUUUAGUUUGGAAAGUUUUUUCUUUUUUAUUUAGAUACAGCGCGCGCGCAAGAUUGAGGAGACAUCACGUGACGCGGGUUUAUAUUAAGAAAAACUUAGUCUUUUAAUUUCUUUUUAGGUCGGGACCUUGAACAGACAACAUGUCUAGAGAUGGAAUGUACACAAUGUAAUUUUCUUUUGUCAUUGUAGGAAAUUGACAUUUUUGAUCACAGUUCACCAGCAGUGCAUGUUUUGGAUUUAAUCGAUCCGGUGUAACUUUAAAACACAUUUAAUGAUUAUUUUUUGAUAAUGUCCAUUUUUCAGCACCUGUUUGUAACACAGAUUAGUAUUUCAAUCUCGGAGCGGACAUUUUAUUGUAGGUUUUUACUGAGAUUUGACGGACCUAGCAAGCGAUUUUUACUGCAUUGCCAUUUCUUUUUUCUAGGAAAAGUCUUGAGAGAUAUCUGCAAAAAGUUUUUUAUGAACCUUCAGUACAUGUAUGCCCUGCUGACUGCAAAUUUUCAGGUCGAUUGGACUUGUAGUUUCAGAGAAUAUGUGGAUUUUUUUUUUCAGAAGAGACGUAAGAACAAUAAUAAAAUAAAAAUUUUCUUGAAUAAUUGAGAGUUUGUUCCUUCAAUAAACUGUCAUAAAUAAACAGUCAUACAUAUUGAUUGAUUGAUUAGUUGGUUGAUUGAUUGAUUGAUUGGUUGGUUGGUUGGUUGGUUGGUUGGUUGAUUAAACACGUUUGAUAGGGUCACUUAGAACAAGGGGAAAAAGACCUCAAGAGACCUUGCAUCCCGUAUUAUUAAACGCAUGACACGGAAACAUACAUUAAGUGAUUGAUUGGUUGGUUGGUUGGUUGGUUGGUUAAACACGUUGGUUAAACAUGUUGGUUUAACACGUUGGGUUAAACAACGUUGGCUGGUUAAACACGUUUGAUAGGCUCAAUUUAAACAAGCAAAAAAAAACCAUCUGUGAUCCCGUAUUUAACACAUGAAACGGAAACAUGCAUUGAUUGAUUUUUGGUUGGUUGGUUGGUUAAACACGUUGGUUAAACACGUGGUUAAACAGGCUCGAAAAAAUUGGAUCCCGUAUUUAACACAUGAAACGGAAACAUGCAUUGAUUUAUUAUUGAUUGGUUGGUUGGUUGGUUGUUUUAAACACGUUGGUUAAACAUGUUGGUUAAACAUGUUGGUUAAACACGUUUGUUAAACACGUUGGCUGGUUAAACACGUGAUAGGCUCAAUUUUAACAAUUAAACACGUUUGAUAGGCUCAAUUUUAACAAGCGAAAAAAAACCAUCUUGGAUCCCGUAUUUAACACAUGAAACGGAAACAUGCAUUGAUUGAUUGAUUGGUUGGUUGGUUGGUUGGGUUGGUUAAACAAGUUGGUUAAACACGUUGGUUAAACACGUUGGUUAAAACACGUUGGCUGGUUAACACGUUAGAUAGGCUCAAUUUAAACAAGCGAAAAAAACCAUCUUGGAUCCCGUAUUUAACACAUGAAACGGAAACAUGCAUUGAUUGAUUGAUUGAUUGAUUGGUUGGUGGUUGGUUGGUUGGUUGGUUGGUGGUUAAACACGUUGGUUAAACAUGUUGGUAAACACGUUGGUGGUUAAACACGUUAGAUAGGCUCAAUUUAAACAAGCGAAAAAAAAAACAUCUUGGAUCCCGUAUUUAACACAUGAAACGGAAACAUGCAUUGAUUGAUUGAUGCUUGGUUGGUUGAUUGGUUGGUUGGUUGGUUGGUGUUGGUUGGUUAAACACGUUGUUUAAACAUAGUUGGUUAAACAUGUUGGUUAAACACGUUUGAUAGGCUCAAUUAAAACAAGCGGAAAAAAAGAGACCUUGAAUCCCGUAUCAAACACAUGAAACGGAAACAUUGAUUGAUUGAUUGAUUGAUUGAUUGAUUGAUUGAUUGAUUGAUUGGUUGGUUGGUUGGUUGGUUGGUUGGUUGGUUGGGUUGGUUUGGUUGGUUGAAAUUCAAACACACAUAAAACUGUUUAAAUAGUGCCAAAACCACAUAAUUUGAUGACCUUGACCUUUGACCUUGUGACCCUUCGUCAAGGUCAUUGCUCCACAAGGUCAUUGCAAAAGACCCUAUGGGUCAAGGACCUUUUGUUUAAGAGUUUUGCCUAAAAAUGGCUUUUUAAAAACCAUCGAUGGGAGUUAUGUCCCUUACAUGAUGGUAAAAUCAAUAUAGUCAUAAUGUAAAAAAGUUGCCCUUGAAGUACUUAAGCAUUUUUCACUGCUUAAUUUUUUCUGUAUCUAUAACCAUUCAAGAAUUAUAGGGAAAUCAAAAGACAUAUGAAAAAUCUAAAAUAUGACCUUUGACCUUGACCUAAUUUUCUAAGUUAGGAAUCCAGGGGACUCAAAUAAAAACAUUCCAGGGUUAUACGGUUAACGGUUAUGAGUUAAAAAACAUACCGACAAAUUUAUUCCGUAAAGAUAGAUAACUCCUAUAAAAUUUCAUCGAAUCGCUUCGAUCCAAAUUAGCCAAAAUUUUCUGAGGAUGUAACGAACAAUUUUGUAAAAAGAAUUUUGUCGUUAUCUUUUUUUUUACGAAGGAGAUGCACAACAUGAUAAACAGUGAAUAGGGAGAUAACUCUUACAAGAGAAAAUUGUUCGUCUUAGCAGGGUGAAAUUUAAAAGCGCAUAAACUAUACGAUAACAAUAUGAGAAAUAUCUAAGCGACAUAUUGCGAAACAAACAUUUAUCGCAAGAACAAAUUUGGCGGAAAAAAAAAAAAAAUAAUAAUAAGAUAAUCAGAACAAAAUAGCCAAUAGCUUCCACAGAGAAGUGGAAAGACUAAAUAAAUAUAUGGACUAAAACUGGAGUUGUCGUUCGUUUUACGUGGAUAGGAAAGAUAGUACACAACUACAUUACAGUUUUGUAAGGAGGUAAAAAAAAAGGGGGGGGGCACGGGGGUUCGGGAGAUUUUUUUUUUUUUUAAAUUAAGGGAACAGAAUGGUUAAAAAGGUUUUACAAUAUAUAAUCAAUUGCUUUAAAAAAGCAAUUGUAGGGGGUCUUUCCCCCUGUAAAAUUAAUUGAAAUGGGGGGUGUUUGUUUGUUUGUUUGUUUGUUUGUUUCUGUAUGGGUCUAUAUUAUUGUUACCGGAGAAGUUUCAUUUUAGUUUGGAAAGUUUUUCUUUAUUUUAGUACAGCGCGCGCGCCACAUCACGUGACACGGUUUAUAAUAACGAAAAGAUAGUCUUUUAUUCCUUUUAGGUGGGGACUUUGAACAGACAACAUGUAUAGAGACGGAUACACACAAUGUAAUUUCUUUGUCAUUUGUAGAAAUUGACAUUUUUGAUGACAGUUUUCAAAGCAGUGGCAUGAUUUGGAUUUAAUUGAUCCGGUAAACUUUAAAAACAUUUUAUUGAUUAUUUUCUGAUAAUGUACAUUUUUCAGCACCUGUUUGUAACACAGAUUAAGUAUUUCAAUCUCGGAGCGGACAUUUUAUUGUAGGUUUUUACUGAGAUUUACGGACCUAGCAAGCGAUUUUUACGCAUUGCCAUUUCUUUUCUCUAGGAAAAGCUUUGAGAGAUAUCUGCACCAAGUUUUUUUAUAAACUUUCAGUACAUGUAUGCCCUGCUGACUGCAAAUUUUGAAGUCGAUUGUACUUGUAGUUUCAGAGUACAUGUGGAUUUUUUUUCAGAAGUGACGCAAGAACAAUAUUGAAUUUCGAUUUUUCAUGAAACAUGAUUUAUUGAUCAUGAUCAUGAUUGAUUGAUUGAUUGAUUGAUUGGUUGGUUGAUUAGUUGGUUGGUUGGUUGGUUGG
RNAcentral lists this long non-coding RNA (3976 nucleotides) under Mytilus galloprovincialis (Mediterranean mussel). Lineage: Eukaryota; Metazoa; Mollusca; Bivalvia; Mytilida; Mytilidae. The record is from RNAcentral.